This 68-nucleotide transfer RNA is filed under the name Pterocryptis cochinchinensis. RNAcentral describes it as "tRNA-Met". Lineage: Eukaryota; Metazoa; Chordata; Actinopteri; Siluriformes; Siluridae. RNAcentral also lists the same sequence under 1 other name. The record is from RNAcentral.
AGUAAGAUCAGCUAAACAAGCUAUUGGGCCCAUACCCCAAAAAUGUAGGCUAAUCCCUUCUCUUAUAA